This 242-nucleotide ribosomal RNA is filed under the name Candidatus Midichloria mitochondrii. RNAcentral describes it as "partial 16S ribosomal RNA". It matches the Rfam family "Bacterial small subunit ribosomal RNA", at positions 578 to 819 of the family's 1533-position model. The record is from RNAcentral. Lineage: Bacteria; Pseudomonadati; Pseudomonadota; Alphaproteobacteria; Rickettsiales; Candidatus Midichloriaceae.
GCUUAGUAAGUCAAAAGUGAAAGCCUUGGGCUCAACCUAAGAAUUGCUUUUGAAACUACCAAGCUUGAGUACUGUAGGGGAUAGCGGAAUUCCUAGUGUAGGGGUGAAAUUCAUAGAUGUUAGGAGGAACACCGGAGGCGAAAGCGGUUAUCUGGACAGUUACUGACGCUGUUGCACGAAAGCGUGGGGAGCAAACGGGAUUAGAUACCCUGGUAGUCCACGCUGUAAACGAUGAGUGCUAA